This 406-nucleotide ribosomal RNA is filed under the name uncultured bacterium. RNAcentral describes it as "partial 16S ribosomal RNA". It matches the Rfam family "Bacterial small subunit ribosomal RNA", at positions 30 to 526 of the family's 1533-position model. The record is from RNAcentral.
AUUGAACGCUGGCGGCAGGCCUAACACAUGCAAGUCGAACGAGUGGCGUACGGGUAAGUAAUGCCUGGGAAACUGCCUGAUGGAGGGGGAUAACUACUGGAAACGGUAGCUAAUACCGCAUACCAUCGGAUGUGCCCAGAUGGGAUUAGCUAGUAGGUGGGGUAAAGGCUCACCUAGGCGACGAUCCCUAGCUGGUCUGAGAGGAUGACCAGCCAGACUAGAAAUGAGACACGGUCCAGAAUCCUACGGGAUGCAGCAGUGGGGAAUAUUGCACAAUGGGCGCAAGCCUGAUGCAGCCGUGCCGCGUGUAUGAAGAAGGCCGUCGGUGUGUAAAGUACUUGCAGCGGGGAGGCGUUACCCGCAGAGGAAGCCCCGGCGAACACCGUGCCAGCAGCCGCGGUAAUUC